AAUCAACGCUGGCGGCGUGCCUCAGACAUGCAAGUCGAACGCGAAAGUUUCCUUCGGGAGGCGAGUAGAGUGGCGCACGGGUGAGUAACACGUAGGUAAUCUACCUUUGGGUGGGGAAUAACAGCCGGAAACGGCUGCUAAUACCGCAUAAUGCAGCGGCUCGACAUCGAGACAGUUGUUAAAGCGGGGGAUCGCAAGACCUCGCGCCUAAAGAGGAGCCUGCGGCGGAUAGCUAGUUGGUGAGGUAAUGGCUCACCAAGGCAUCGAUCCGUAGCCGGCCUGAGAGGGCGGUCGGCCACACUGACACUGACAUACGGGUCAGACUCCUACGGGAGGCAGCAGUCGGGAAUUUUGGGCAAUGGGCGCAAGCCUCGACCCAGCAACGCCGCGUGAAGGAUGAAAUCCCUCGGAUGUAAACUUCGCAAGAACAGGAAGAA
RNAcentral lists this ribosomal RNA (437 nucleotides) under uncultured bacterium. Its description in RNAcentral is "bacterial SSU rRNA". It matches the Rfam family "Bacterial small subunit ribosomal RNA", at positions 32 to 449 of the family's 1533-position model. The record is from RNAcentral.